Molecule: long non-coding RNA, 234 nt
Filed under: Elaeis guineensis (African oil palm)
Lineage: Eukaryota; Viridiplantae; Streptophyta; Magnoliopsida; Arecales; Arecaceae
Description: long non-coding RNA (EGUI_LNC080664)
Source: RNAcentral
GGUGAUCAAUAUUGGUCAGUAGAUCUCCUACUGGUACGACAUAUGGACUAAUGGUCAUAUCCUUUAUGGCAUCAAUUCCCCUACUUUGCUCUUGAUGGCCCUCGAUCAGACCUUAAGACUCGUUUGGUGGACGAAAAGUGGAGGGAGAAAGAGGCAGUUCCUGAAAAGUAAAGAGAGGGGUCUUUUGUUUAAUUGGAGUUUUAAAAAAAGAGAGUAAAAAAAGGUCUUUCCAUG